AAGUCGUAACAAGGUUUCCGUAGGUGAACCUGCGGAAGGAUCAUUAUCGAGUGCCGGGCGCAAGCCCGUACCCGCACCCAGUGUCGACUCUCUCUGUUGCUUCGGCGCGCACGCUCCGGCGGCCGCCGAAGGACCCAACCAAACGCAUGGCAAACCGGUCCGUCCGAGGAUACGCAAAUCAGUCAAAACUUUCAACAACGGAUCUCUUGGUUCGG
This 215-nucleotide unclassified non-coding RNA is filed under the name Arthrographis sp. Its description in RNAcentral is "partial internal transcribed spacer region". The stretch from base 1 to 46 matches the Rfam family "Eukaryotic small subunit ribosomal RNA", at positions 1786 to 1831 of the family's 1831-position model. RNAcentral also lists the same sequence under 1 other name. Lineage: Eukaryota; Fungi; Ascomycota; Dothideomycetes; Eremomycetales; Eremomycetaceae. The record is from RNAcentral.